UACGAAGGGGGCUAGCGUUGCUCGGAAUUACUGGGCGUAAAGCGCACGUAGGCGGCUUUCUAAGUCGGGGGUGAAAUCCUGGAGCUCAACUCCAGAACUGCCUUUGAUACUGAAGAUCUUGAGUUCGGGAGAGGUGAGUGGAACUGCGAGUGUAGAGGUGAAAUUCGUAGAUAUUCGCAAGAACACCAGUGGCGAAGGCGGCUCUCUGGGCCUUUCCUGACGCUGAGACGCGAAAGCGUGGGGAGCGAACCGG
Molecule: ribosomal RNA, 253 nt
Filed under: uncultured bacterium
Lineage: Bacteria
Description: partial 16S ribosomal RNA
Rfam family: Bacterial small subunit ribosomal RNA
Source: RNAcentral